GUGGGGAGCGGACGUGGGGGAGGGGCAGGACCAGGUACGGACAUUGCUGCAGGAGAAGAGGUUGCCAUCAAGCUUGAAUGUGUCAAAACCAAACACCCUCAGCUCCACAUUGAGAGCAAAAUCUACAAGAUGAUGCAGGGAGGAGUGGGCAUCCCCACCAUCAGAUGGUGCGGGGCAGAGGGGGACUACAACGUCAUGGUGAUGGAGCUGCUGGGGCCAAGCCUGGAGGACCUCUUCAACUUCUGCUCCAGGAAAUUCAGCCUCAAAACCGUCCUGCUGCUUGCUGACCAAAUGAUCAGUCGCAUCGAAUACAUUCAUUCAAAGAACUUCAUCCACCGGGAUGUGAAGCCAGACAACUUCCUCAUGGGCCUGGGGAAGAAGGGCAACCUGGUGUACAUCAUCGACUUCGGGCUGGCCAAGAAGUACCGGGACGCACGCACCCACCAGCACAUCCCCUAUCGUGAGAACAAGAACCUCACGGGGACGGCGCGGUACGCCUCCAUCAACACGCACCUUGGAAUUGAACAAUCCCGAAGAGAUGACUUGGAGUCUCUGGGCUACGUGCUAAUGUACUUCAACCUGGGCUCUCUCCCCUGGCAGGGGCUGAAGGCUGCCACCAAGAGACAGAAAUAUGAAAGGAUUAGCGAGAAGAAAAUGUCCACCCCCAUCGAAGUGUUGUGUAAAGGCUACCCUUCCGAAUUUGCCACAUACCUGAAUUUCUGCCGUUCCUUGCGUUUUGACGACAAGCCUGACUACUCGUACCUGCGGCAGCUUUUCCGGAAUCUGUUCCAUCGCCAGGGCUUCUCCUAUGACUACGUGUUCGACUGGAACAUGCUCAAAUUUGGUGCCAGCCGGGCCGCCGAUGACGCCGAGCGGGAGCGCAGGGACCGAGAGGAGCGGCUGAGACACUCGCGGAACCCGGCUACCCGCGGCCUCCCUUCCACAGCCUCCGGCCGC
This 957-nucleotide small RNA is filed under the name Pan troglodytes (chimpanzee). Its description in RNAcentral is "processed transcript". Lineage: Eukaryota; Metazoa; Chordata; Mammalia; Primates; Hominidae. The record is from RNAcentral.